RNAcentral lists this long non-coding RNA (1717 nucleotides) under Populus trichocarpa (black cottonwood). RNAcentral describes it as "long non-coding RNA (PTRI_LNC002280)". Lineage: Eukaryota; Viridiplantae; Streptophyta; Magnoliopsida; Malpighiales; Salicaceae. The record is from RNAcentral.
AAUUGCUAUGGAUCGAGCACAGAUUUUGCUGGUAGGAUUACCUCUAUUUCUCUUAUGCACUGACCUUAUCCACCUCUUCACUCCCCCACCUCCUAAACCCCCUCCCCAUCACCACCACCACCCUCACCCCCACCACCAUCACAAACAACCACCAGUGGGUGCCCAUGAAACCCUAGGAUCUCCAACGCAGGUGAAGUAUCACGUUAACGUUUUUAUCCUUAGUUAACUCUCAAAAUAAUUAAAAUACUGAUUAAUUUUCCGAGGUGUGUGUCUCUAUUGCAGAAGCCAGUUGUUGGAGGGAUUGGUCUUGGCAGCACUGUCAGAAUUGACUUUUGCGCUUCCUGCUCUUACAGGUAUCUUUGAUUCCUUGAUUCCCCCUCGUAGUCUAAAAUUCUUACGGGUUUUUUUUAAUGUUUACGUGAUUACAAAAUCCCAUUUGUAAUUUGAUCAAUUGAUAAAGUAAUAUGACCAGCUGAAUGGGUUUUUCCCUGUCACGUGAGAAUCUGAAAAGAACCCUUGAUUUUCAUGGUUUUUGUUAGUGGUUAUUGGUGAUUCAUGUCGAAAUUUGGUGAACUCUGCAUAUGCUCUUGUAAUCUCAUUAGGUGUAAUUUAGGUUUGGGUUUUGAUGGGAUUGAUUUGGUUUGAGCUGCUAUUGAUGCUCGGAUUACUAUUCUGUGUUGCUCUCUGCAGAGGGAAUGCGGUAACAAUGAAAAAGAUGUUGGAAACGCAGUUUCCAGGAAUUGAUGUUGUACUUGUAAAUUAUCCCCCAUCCCUGCCGAAGCGGGUGGCAGCCAAAUUAGUACCGGUUUUUCAAAUAGGAGUAAUGGGAAUUGUGUUGGGUGGUGAACAGAUUUUUCCGAUGCUGGGACUCAUGACUCCACCUCCUUGGUAUUAUUCUCUACGUGCCAAUAAAUUUGGGACCAUUGCAUCCACUUGGCUUCUAGGCAAUGCAUUGCGGUCCUUCCUGCAAUCCUCUGGGGCGUUUGAAGUUUAUUGCAAUGAUGAAUUGGUUAGUGGCCUAUCACUUGAGCAUGAAUUGAAUUUUUGUUGGCUCAAAUGCAUUUAUUUUUUGCCAGUGGAGUAUCUGAAAGGAUCUGCUAGUUCAUUUUGAGGAUCUGGUAAUGUAAGAGAGAUUGUAUGCACUGGCUACUCUUCUCACUAAUAGGAUCGUGUGUGCUCUGCUAAUCAAUGUUUACAAUUGAAACAUGGGUUGGAUGGUCUAGACUCUAUACCAUGUAACCAGAUACAUUUAUAACCAAGUAGAUCCCAUUAAUUUCCCAGAGCCACCGAUGCCAGUUGGAGUCGGUAUUUAAAUUUACAGUUGUGCUGAGCAUUUGAGAAUCUUUGUUCAACUGUUUUAUUUAGUUGCUUGAUAAAUUUGAACCUUGAUUUCAAUUUUGUUAAGAGAAAUAGAUUUAAGUUCCCCUUCUUAAUCUUAUUUUCUCUCUUGUGAAUUGCAGGUUUUCUCCAAAUUGAGGGAGGAGAGAUUUCCAGGAGAGAUUGAACUAAAAGAUCUUGUUGGCAGAAGGUUGGCUAAUUCUGGCAUUUCUGAUAUGCUGCCCUAGUUCUCUGCCACCUGUGUGGGGGGGCUGAAUUUGAAACAAGUGGUUAUGGUGGCUGUACGCCUGAUGGUAUACUGUUUGGAAGGCAGGCUAUGAUGCAUGCAAAUAUGAACUGUAUCUAUCUUUCAAAGAAUAUAAACCAUGUUAAUGCCUUG